Molecule: ribosomal RNA, 205 nt
Filed under: uncultured bacterium
Lineage: Bacteria
Description: partial 16S ribosomal RNA
Rfam family: Bacterial small subunit ribosomal RNA
Source: RNAcentral
AACGUAGGACGCAAGCGUUAUCCGGAGUUACUGGGCGUAAAGCGCGAGCAGGCGGCUUCUUAAGUCUGAUGUGAAAGCGCCCGGCUCAACCGGGCGAGGCCAUUGGAAACUAGGGAGCUGGAGGGCAGUAGAGGCAGGCGGAAUUCCGGGUGGAGUGGUGGAAAUGCGUAGAGAUCGGGGAGGAACACCCGUGGGCGAAAGGCGG